This 1362-nucleotide ribosomal RNA is filed under the name Triticum aestivum (bread wheat). Its description in RNAcentral is "partial small subunit ribosomal RNA". The record is from RNAcentral. Lineage: Eukaryota; Viridiplantae; Streptophyta; Magnoliopsida; Poales; Poaceae.
AUGAGUGCAACCACUUUCCGAUAUCUUAUAUCUUUGGCAGUGCAAAAUCGUCUAUCUAUGCAGUUGAUGGACGUCGUGACCGCAUAUCUUUACGGGUCACUAGAUUCGGACAUAUAUAUGAAGGUUCCUGAUGGAAUCUCUGUCCCGAAUGAAAAUGCAAAACACAACAUGUAUUGUGUAAAGCUGAAUAAGUCAUUAUAUGGCUUAAGGCAGUCGGGGCGGAUGUGGUACAACCGACUCAGUGAGUUCCUUCUUCAGAAAGGUUACUCCAAUAGUGCUGAUUGCCCAUGUGUUUUCAUCAAGAAGUCCUCGACGGGAUUUUGCAUCAUUUCCGUGUAUGUUGAUGAUCUCAACAUCAUUGGCAGCACACCAGACAUUGAUGAAGCACGCAAUCACCUAAAGAUGAAAUUUGAGAUGAAGGAUUUGGGUAAAACCAAAUUUUGCUUAGGUAUUCAACUUGAGCACCUUCCCUCAGGUAUCAUGGUACACCAAGCUGCCUAUAUCCAGAAAAUAUUGGAAAAAUUCAAUAUGGACAAAUCCUAUCCAUCUAAAACUCCUAUGGUGGUUCGAUCUCUAGACGUAGAGAAAGAUCCGUUCAGACCGAGGGAUGAUGGAGAAGAGGUGUUGGGAUCUGGAGUUCCAUACCUCAGUGCCAUUGGAGCGCUUAUGUAUCUUGCAAAUUGCACAAGACCUGAUAUUGCAUUUGCAGUAAAUCUACUUGCUAGACAUAGCGCAACUCCCACUAAACGUCAUUGGUCUGGAGUGAAGAAUAUCUUUCGAUAUCUCCAAGGCACAAAGGAUCUUGGCCUAUUUUACCAGUUCCAGAGAAAUCUGGACUCUGGUAUGAUUGGAUAUGCAGAUGCCGGUUAUUUGUCUGAUCCCCACAAUGCCAGAUCUCAAACCGGUUUUGUGUUCCUACAUGGUGGUACUGCUAUAUCAUGGAAGUCUUCAAAGCAGACUCUGGUGGCAACAUCUACCAAUCAUUCUGAAAUAAUUUCAUUAUUUGAAGCGACAUGCGAAUGUGUAUGGCUUCGCAGAAUGAUAAACCACAUACAACAGUCAUGUGGAAUUGGUUCGAUAAAAUCACCUACCAUUAUCUAUGAAGAUAAUGCGGCCUGUGUUGCACAGAUGCAAACAGGAUACAUCAAGAGCAAUAUCACCAAGCAUAUUUCUCCUAAAUGGUUUUUCCCCCAUAAUCUUCAGAAAAGCGGAGAAAUAAACAUUCUGCAAGUCAAAUCAUGCGACAACCUUGCUGAUUUAUUUACCAAGUCUCUACCAAAUUCAACGUUCCAAAAAUAUGUUCAUGGCAUUGGUAUGAGAAGACUCCGGGACUUGCAAACGUCAGGGGGAGUCUCUUCUUGA